This 497-nucleotide ribosomal RNA is filed under the name uncultured bacterium. RNAcentral's name for it is "partial 16S ribosomal RNA". It matches the Rfam family "Bacterial small subunit ribosomal RNA", at positions 28 to 507 of the family's 1533-position model. The record is from RNAcentral.
GACGAACGCUGGCGGCGUGCCUAAUACAUGCAAGUAGAACGCUGAAGAGAGGAGCUUGCUCUUCUGGGAUGAGUUGCGAACGGGUGAGUAACGCGUAGGUAACCUGCCUUGUAGCGGGGGAUAACUAUUGGAAACGAUAGCUAAUACCGCAUAACAAUGGAUGACACAUGUCAUUUAUUUGAAAGGGGCAAUUGCUCCACUACAAGAUGGACCUGCGUUGUAUUAGCUAGUAGGUGAGGUAAUGGCUCACCUAGGCGACGAUACAUAGCCGACCUGAGAGGGUGAUCGGCCACACUGGGACUGAGACACGGCCCAGACUCCUACGGGAGGCAGCAGUAGGGAAGCUUCGGCAAUGGGGGCAACCCUGAACGAGCAACGCCGCGUGAGUGAAGAAGGUUUUCGGAUCGUAAAGCUCUGUUGUAAGUCAAGAACGGGUGUGAGAGUGGAAAGUUCACACUGUGACGGUAGCUUACCAGAAAGGGACGGCUAACUACGUG